AUUCCUACGGGAGGCAGCAGUGAGGAAUAUUGGUCAAUGGGCGAGAGCCUGAACCAGCCAUCCCGCGUGCAGGAAGAAUGUCCUAUGGAUUGUAAACUGCUUUUCCACUAGAAGAAUAAGAGCUACGUGUAGCUUUACGACGGUAUAGUGGGAAUAAGCAUCGGCUAACUCCGUGCCAGCAGCCGCGGUAAUAAU
RNAcentral lists this ribosomal RNA (195 nucleotides) under uncultured bacterium. RNAcentral's name for it is "partial 16S ribosomal RNA". It matches the Rfam family "Bacterial small subunit ribosomal RNA", at positions 335 to 526 of the family's 1533-position model. The record is from RNAcentral.